Molecule: RNA transcript, 1239 nt
Organism: Panicum virgatum (switchgrass)
Lineage: Eukaryota; Viridiplantae; Streptophyta; Magnoliopsida; Poales; Poaceae
Exons: 8
Source: RefSeq, a predicted model, not a curated record
AUGGAGCAGAAAGAACUGCGGAAAUGGUAAAAUAGCUUGUAAUAUUAGUAUAAUAAAAAAGGGGAAAGGCCAUCUCAUUUUAAUAUAUUUCUUCUCCCCUCUUCCCUCUUCUUGUUCUUGGAGUUGUUGGUCUCCCCGGAGGAGCUAAAAGGCCCCGCCUUUUGGCUCGUUCUCAGACUCACCACCUGCUCCAAGAAAAGCUUCCCGGGAGAUGGCGCGCACCGAGAAGAUUGCCGGUGAUGGCUGCUCCGGCGGCGAAGGCCACGUAGAGGUGGAGGUCGGCGUGGGGAUGGACGGCAAGGGGGUGAUUGAGUGCCGGAUAUGUCAGGAGGAGGGCGACGAGGGCGCCAUGGACUCACCCUGCGCCUGCGCUGGCACGCUCAAGUUCGCCCACAGGAAAUGCAUACAGAGAUGGUGCAACAAGAAGGGGAACAUUACAUGUGAAAUCUGCAACCAGGUCUACUCACCAAAUUAUGUCCUCCCUCCACCCAAAUGUUGUUCAGAUGAAAUGGAUAUCGAUCCUAGGCAAAACUGGGUUGGAAGAAUCGAUACUCAUGAUGAUUCUCAUUUUUUAGCCAUUGCCAUCGCAGAGCAGCAGCUGCUGCAAGCUGAAUUUGAGGAUUGUGUAUCCACAAGUUCUAGUGGUGUUACAUGCUGCCGAACCAUUGCUUUAAUUUUGAUGUUCCUUCUGCUUGUGCGCCAUGUAAUUGUCAUUGUGAGGGAUGUUAGCAUGCUACAAGAUGCAACAGUGCUGUUCAGUGCAACGCUUCAGUUUGCGGGAUUCUUUCUUCCCUGUUAUGUGAUAGCACGUUCUUGCUAUGCUUUGCAACACCGGAGACGAAGACAGGUAUUGUUCACUUAAACCCAGUGUUGCUCGAUUGAACACCUCUGGUUCCAUUAAAAAUCCAGUAUCUGCUUUCUGCUGUAUAGGGACUUAUCUGAACCUUGAAGAACACCAAGACAUACCAACUGAAAGUCUGAAACUCCAUCUUGGCACCAGGCUACCAAGUAACCAAGAUGAGAGCCUGUAAAGUAACGCUUCCCGUUACUUGGAUUGGAGCCACUGCGAAGCAUUUGGUUUCUCCCCUGAAAAUGUAGGCGGUGUAGGACACGAUGUAGCGAAAACAGCCCUCGUAAAGCUCAACUGUACAUACGAGAACAAGGCCUUUUUACAGCUGCAAAACAUGUAACCUCACACAUUUCUAUUGCAAAUAAAGAACAAGGAAUGACCGCCCACCA